CCCUUAGAUGUUCUGGGCAGCACGCGCGCUACAAUGGUCUUCGCAAACGGAUGCAUUCUCGAAGGAGAAUGCCAAUCUUGGAAUCUAUGCCUUGGUCGGGACAGUUGCUUGCAAUUUUUCGACUCGAACCAGGAAUUCCUUGUAAUCGUGAUUCAUCACAUCACGAUGAAUACGUCCCUGCCCUUUGUACACACCGCCCGUCGCUCCUACCGAUCGAAGAGUUAGGUGAAUUGUUUUGAUCGAUAAGAUUUGACUAUGGUCAAUUCUCGUUGUGAAAUUCUGUGAAUCUGACUGUUUAGAGGAAGGAAAAGUCGUAACA
RNAcentral lists this ribosomal RNA (319 nucleotides) under uncultured eukaryote. RNAcentral's name for it is "partial 18S ribosomal RNA". It matches the Rfam family "Eukaryotic small subunit ribosomal RNA", at positions 1470 to 1796 of the family's 1831-position model. The record is from RNAcentral.